CUCUCUUCCAACCACCUGUCGAGCUCCUGCCAGUUACCUGCCUGAAUCUUGCGAUUCACCUGACUUGCUCCAGCGUUGUUUCCAGUAUCCCUGUUUAUCUGUUUCCAGUUCAGCUCCUCUUCCCGAAUCGGAUAUCAGGAUUAAGAUCAAGCUGAGAGAUAUGCUGCAGGCUCACACAAACAUCUGGAUGCAUCACACAUGACUAUAAAGGUGUGGGAUUUCCUGUGAAAAAUGGACCAAGAUGAUUAUUAUUGAAGGAGGGAUCUAAACAGGCAUCGCAAGGAAGAAGUGGGAGAGGCCUCAGCCAUGUUGAGUUUCAUCAGUGCAGAGAACAAAACUUUGAGCACUUACAUCAAAGAAACUGGGCUAUUACACACUGCUUUUCUGUAAUAUUUAGUGAUUCUUUUUCUCUAUUUAUUCUGAAUAUUGAAUGAAUUUGCAUAACAUACAGUACUGGCCAAACGUUUUAGACACAUGAAUAUUUACAUUGUAUGCAGAUUCUCAAUGAAGGCAUUAAAACGUGAAUGAACAUCUGCAAUUAUGUAGCAUAAUACAUUUAUUGA
This is a long non-coding RNA of Girardinichthys multiradiatus, 563 nucleotides long. RefSeq lists it as uncharacterized. The record is from RefSeq and is a predicted model, not a curated record. Lineage: Eukaryota; Metazoa; Chordata; Actinopteri; Cyprinodontiformes; Goodeidae. The transcript has 3 exons.